AUACGGAGGAUCCGAGCGUUAUCCGGAUUUAUUGGGUUUAAAGGGUGCGUAGGUGGUUUUAUAAGUCAGCGGUGAAAGUUUGCAGCUUAACUGUAAAAAUGCCGUUGAAACUGUAAGACUUGAGUGUAAAUGAGGUAGGCGGAAUGCGUGGUGUAGCGGUGAAAUGCAUAGAUAUCACGCAGAACUCCGAUUGCGAAGGCAGCUUACUAAGCUACAACUGACACUGAAGCACGAAAGCGUGGGGAUCAAACAGGAUUAGAUACCCUGGUAGUCCACGCAGUAAACGAUGAUUACUAGCUGUUUGCGAUACACAGUAAGCGGCACAGCGAAAGCGUUAAGUAAUCCACCUGGGGAGUACGCCGGCAACGGUGAAACUCAAAGGAAUUGACGGGG
Molecule: ribosomal RNA, 393 nt
Filed under: uncultured bacterium
Lineage: Bacteria
Description: partial 16S ribosomal RNA
Rfam family: Bacterial small subunit ribosomal RNA
Source: RNAcentral